RNAcentral lists this ribosomal RNA (170 nucleotides) under uncultured Clostridium sp. Its description in RNAcentral is "partial 16S ribosomal RNA". It matches the Rfam family "Bacterial small subunit ribosomal RNA", at positions 338 to 524 of the family's 1533-position model. Lineage: Bacteria; Bacillati; Bacillota; Clostridia; Eubacteriales; Clostridiaceae. The record is from RNAcentral.
CCUACGGGAGGCAGCAGUGGGGAAUAUUGCGCAAUGGGGGAAACCCUGACGCAGCUACGCCGCGUGAGCGAUGAAGGCCUUCGGGUCGUAAAGCUCUGUCUUUUGGGACGAUAAAAGACGGUACCAAAGGAGGAAGCCACGGCUAACUACGUGCCAGCAGCCGCGGUAAU